UAGGGAAUCUUCCACAAUGGACGCAAGUCUGAUGGAGCAACGCCGCGUGAGUGAAGAAGGUUUUCGGACCGUAAAGCUCUGUUGUUGGUGAAGAAGGAUAGAGGUAGUAACUGGCCUUUAUUUGACGGUAAUCAACCAGAAAGUCACGGCUAACUACGUGCCAGCAGCCGCGGUAAUCGUAGGUGGCAAGCGUUGUCCGGAUUUAUUGGGCGUAAAGCGAGCGCAGGCGGAAGAAUAAGUCUGAUGUGAAAGCCCUCGGCUUAACCGAGGAAUUGCAUCGGAAACUGUUUUUCUUGAGUGCAGAAGAGGAGAGUAGAACUCCAUGUGUAGCGGUGGAAUGCGUAGAUAUAUGGAAGAAUACCAGUGGCGAAGGCGGCUCUCUGGUCUGCAACUGACGCUGAGGCUCGAAAGCAUGGGUAGCGAACAGGAUUAGAUACCCUGGUAGUCCAUGCCGUAAACGAUGAGUGCUAAGUGUUGGGAGGCUUCCGCCUCUCAGUGCUGCAGCUAACGCAUUAAGCACUCCGCCUGGGGGAGUACGACCGCAAGGUUGAAACU
This 555-nucleotide ribosomal RNA is filed under the name uncultured bacterium. RNAcentral's name for it is "partial 16S ribosomal RNA". It matches the Rfam family "Bacterial small subunit ribosomal RNA", at positions 355 to 901 of the family's 1533-position model. The record is from RNAcentral.